This 305-nucleotide ribosomal RNA is filed under the name uncultured bacterium. RNAcentral's name for it is "bacterial SSU rRNA". It matches the Rfam family "Bacterial small subunit ribosomal RNA", at positions 335 to 658 of the family's 1533-position model. The record is from RNAcentral.
UACCUACGGGAGGCAGCAGUGGGGAAUAUUGCACAAUGGGGGAAACCCUGAUGCAGCGACGCCGCGUGAGUGAGGAAGUAUUUCGGUAUGUAAAGCCCUAUCAGCAGGGAAGAAAAUGACGGUACCUGACUAAGAAGCUCCGGCUAACUACGUGCCAGCAGCCGCGGAAAUACGUAGGGAGCAAGCGUUAUCCGGAUUUAUUGGGUGUAAAGGGUGCGAAGACGGGAAAUUAAGUUAGUUGUGAAAUCCCUCGGCUCAACUGAGGAACUGCAACUAAAACUGGUUUUCUUGAGUGUUGGAGAGGA